Molecule: long non-coding RNA, 1797 nt
Filed under: Homo sapiens (human)
Lineage: Eukaryota; Metazoa; Chordata; Mammalia; Primates; Hominidae
Description: non-protein coding lnc-EYA1-2:9
Source: RNAcentral
UGAUGCCCCUGGGCCCCACCCCGGGGCAGGAGGGCGGCGAUCGGCGCCCGGGAAGCGGCUGAGGGGCGCCGCGACUCUCAGCGAGCGCCGCCCGAGCCCCAGCCCGCCCGGGCAGCCUCCGAGGCCUAGGGCGCCGCCGCCAGGUGCAGGGGUGUUGGAACCCUUUGAAGAAGUGUGUAGCUAAUAGCCCAUACAUAAUUCAGAAGAAGUCUUCAAUGGAAGACCCCCGGGGGAUAAAUGGACAGUCUCCCAUUGGCACUGCUGUUCAAUAUGUUACGACAUUUGGAGCAACCACAGCAGCAGCUCUCACCAGAAAUUAAAGGUGGAGUCUCGCUCUGUCGCCCAGGCUGGAGUGCACUGGCGCAAUCUCGGCUCACUGCAAGCUCCGCCUCCCGGGUUCGCGCCGUUCUCCUGCCUCAGCCUCCUGAGUAACUGGGACUACAGGCGCCCGCCACCACAUCUGGCUAAUUUUUUGUAUUACUAGUAGAGACGGGGUUUCACCGUGUUAAGCAGGAUGGUCUCGAUCUCCUGACGUCGUGAUCCACCCGCCUUGGCCUCCCAAAGUGCUGGGAUUACAGGCAUGAGCCACCGCCCCAGGCCUAUAUAUUUCUGAAUCUUAACAUCAUUUGAUUAUCGCUUCCUGUACUUCACAAUCUAUCAGAUGAUGUGUUCUGUCAGUUUUACCUCUAGCUUUUAAACAUUUUAAACUGCAACCCACACUUGGAAACAUUUUUCAUCACAAUUCAGUAAAAAUAUAUUUGCCAUAUUUGCAUAUGUGAAUAUCUAUAUGGCUAAAAAAUUCAUGGACUAACACUCUUAUGAAGUGUGGUGACCACUGAUAUUUAUAUUCUAUUUCAUUUUUCAAAAAUCUUAGUAGCAAGCCAUUCAAGUCAUUCCAAGACCCAUUAAUACAUUGUAACCAGUAGUUUGAAAAACAUUAUUUUUGUAUUUUCUUCUUCCUCUCCCUCUUGCUGGGGCUUUUCAAUGACUAUGAUAUGGACAACUCCAAAAUGCCCUACUCCUGCUCUAAAUUGUAUUGUUUUUUAAAAUGUGCAUUUCUGAUGAGAUCACUUCCUUUCUUAAACACAAAAUACUCCUAAGUAGGGAUGAAAUAUGUUCGUCCUUCAUUAUUUGGACCCUGUUGCCAUUUUCAAUCUGACUUCGUAGUUCCAUUUCCAAUCACUGUGCUGUAGUCAAACUGACCACAACAAUCAAUUCCAAAAAGGCACAAUUAUUUUUUAAAUGUCCUUAAUGUUUUCUGAAGUCACGAAAAACAAGUAUGUACUUUAAGAAGUGAAACAAUCCAAAUAUGUGUAAAGAAAGAUAAUAACCUUCCCUCCACCUCCUCCCAUUCCCAUCCUCUUGAAAUAACCAGUGCUAUCAGCUUGGGAUGUAUACUUUUAUGGCUUUCUCCCUCCUUUUCCAAACAUAGCUAUUAUUUGUAAGACUUUGUUUUUGUUUUUAAAUGGUAUCAUGGUGUACAUAUCACUCUGCAGCUUGUUUUUAUGCUUGAAAGUAGACAUCUCCUCGGGUUCAUAGAUAUGGCUGUAUCUGAUUCUUUUAAGAAGUGCAGUGCAGUUCUUUCACACCUGUAAUUUAAAAUAUAAUUUAUUAUCUACUGGUAGAUGAUCAAGUAGAUCCCAUUUUUGCAGUAACCAAAAUGGUGCAGUGAAAGUCCUUAUAUACUCGCCUUUUUUAUGUCAAUAGGAUAUAAUCUCAAGUCCGAGUUUUGGUCAUAGCCUGUAUAUGCAAACUGAAAAGCUUGUUUGAAUAAAUACUGCCAACUCAUGUUUCCAA